CGUAGGGGGCGAGCGUUAUCCGGAAUCAUUGGGCGUAAAGGGCGCGUAGGCGGAUAUUUAAGUCAGGUGUGAAAGCCCAGGGCUCAACCUUGGGAUUGCAUCUGAUACUGGGUAUCUUGAGGACAGGAGAGGAAAGUGGAAUUCCUAGUGUAGCGGUGAAAUGCGUAGAUAUUAGGAGGAACACCAGUGGCGAAGGCGACUUUCUGGACUGUAACUGACGCUGAGGCGCGAAAGCGUGGGGGAGCAAACAGGAUUAGAUACCCUGGUAGUCCACGCCGUAAACGAUGAGUGCUAGGUGUAGGGGGUAUCGACCCCUCCUGUCGCCGCAGUUAACACAAUAAGCGCUCCGCCUGGGGAGUACGGCCGCAAGGUUG
RNAcentral lists this ribosomal RNA (374 nucleotides) under uncultured organism. Its description in RNAcentral is "bacterial SSU rRNA". It matches the Rfam family "Bacterial small subunit ribosomal RNA", at positions 526 to 896 of the family's 1533-position model. The record is from RNAcentral.